Molecule: ribosomal RNA, 253 nt
Filed under: uncultured prokaryote
Description: partial 16S ribosomal RNA
Rfam family: Bacterial small subunit ribosomal RNA
Source: RNAcentral
GACGGAGGAUGCAAGCGUUAUCCGGAAUGAUUGGGCGUAAAGCGUCUGUAGGUGGUUUAUUAAGUCUACUGUUAAAUAUCAGGGCUUAACCCUGAAUCGGCAGUAGAAACUCAUAAGCUUGAGUACGGUAGGGGCAGAGGGAAUUCCCGGUGUAGCGGUGAAAUGCGUAGAGAUCGGGAAGAACACCGAUGGCGAAAGCACUCUGCUGGGCCGAAACUGACACUGAGAGACGAAAGCUAGGGGAGCAAAUGGG